AUGGAGGACAAUGUAAUUUACUCAAUAGACAAGUCAGAGGUUAUAAGCGAUAAGCCAAGGGAGGUAUCAUUUCAACAAUUAAUGGAGAUUACAAAUAAUUUCGAGCAAAAGCUUGGCAGCGGCACGUUUGGAGUUGUUUACAAGGGAGUGCUUAAUGAUGGACCUGUAAAUCGAGUGAUUGCCGUGAAGAAGCUUCAUUCCACAACAGAGCAGAUUGACGACAAGCAAUUCAAGAAUGAAUUUGAACUACUUAGGGUGCUGAAGCAUCAAAAUAUUGUGCAAUUGGUGGGUUUCUGCAAUGAGACAGAGAAAGUAACUGCCAACUACGAAGGGCGUAUAGUGGUUGCUGAAGAGAUACACAGGGCACUCUGCCUGGAGUUUGUGCCUAAUGGAAGUCUUGGCAAGUUUCUUUCAGAACAAUGCCAUGAACUAAAUUGGAACUUGCGCUUCAAGAUUAUCAAGGGGAUAUGCGAGGGCUUAAAAUACCUUCAUGAUUUUCCCAUCAACCAUUUGGAUCUCAAGCCGGACAAUAUAUUACUAGAUGAUAAAAUGGCUCCGAAAAUAGCAGACUUCGGUAUAUCAAGGCUCAUGGGCGCAGAGAACACUGUAAAGACACAGACUUUCCUAGGGACACUUGGAUACAUCCCACCAGAAUUUAUAAAGAAGCAAAUAAUCUCAAGAGAGUAUGACAUAUUCAGUUUGGGUGUCAUAAUUAGAAAGAUACUGACCAUAGUGAUGGACGACCAAAAUAUUGUUUCAAUGGACGGCCAGGAAUGCAUUGAAUAUGUACACAGUUAUUGGGAGAAAGAGUUACAAGGGGUGCCUGGGUACGCAUCACCUGAAGCAGAUUGCAAACAAGUGAGGGCUUGUAUUGAGAUUGCAGUAGUGUGCAUGGACGAGGAUCGACUUAAUAGGCCUACAAUGAAGUACAUAGUUCAUAAACUCAACAAGCUAGAACUUAAGGAAAAUGACUCAUUGUCGCCGAUAGAACAGAUUCAAGGCGGUCGCCCCAAGAGGGACAUCCCAAAGGGGCCAUCUCCAGUGUGA
Molecule: ribosomal RNA, 1047 nt
Filed under: Triticum aestivum (bread wheat)
Lineage: Eukaryota; Viridiplantae; Streptophyta; Magnoliopsida; Poales; Poaceae
Description: partial small subunit ribosomal RNA
Source: RNAcentral